AUGAACAGCAUAACCAGCAAUGGCGCCGGUGAAGGUGUUUGGGCCGGCCAAGUCGGUGAAGGUGUGGCGCGGGUGCUGCUCUGCCUGGAGGAGGUCGGCGCCGAGUACGAGCUCGUCCACAUGGAUCUCUUCCAGGCCAAGGAGCAGAAGAGCCCGGAGCACCUCGCCAGAAACCCGUUUGGGCUCGUCCCGGCCUUACAAGACGGGGAUCUGGUCCUCUUCGAGGCCCGUGCGAUCGCGAAGUACGUGCUCCGCAAGUACAAGACGGAGCAGGCGGACCUGCUGAGGGAGGGCGACCCGGAGGAGGCCGCCAUGGUGGACGUGUGGACGGAGGUGGAGGCGCACCAGUACCGCCAGGCCCUGAGGCUCAUCAUGCUGGAGUGCUUCCUCAACCCCACUCUGCGCGGCCUCCCCACGAACCAGGCGGUUGUCGACGAGGCCGUGGAGAAGACGAAGAAGGUUCUUGAAAUCUACGAGGCGCGCCUGUCCGAGCACAGGUACCUCGCCGGAGACUUCUUCAGCUAAUUCGCGGAUCUCAACCAUUUCGCGAGCACUUUCUACAUCGUCGACGCGACGCCGUAUGGGUCGCUUCUCGACUCGUACCCUCGCGUGAAGGCCUGGUGGGAGGACCUCAUGUCCCGGCCCUCGUUCAAGAAGAUCAGCGCGCGCCAAUAUGACCACCAAGGUUUAGUCAUGACAGGUUUCGAAAGUCUUCCCCGGUCCGACAGAGCACGUACCUGUAAACGUUUUGCAGUCUUUUCUGUCAAGAAAUUCAAUAAAAGCAAUGUAUCCAACACAUCCUUAUACAAAUAUACAUUCCAAAAAAGUCAACAUCACACAAAAAGGUGCCCGCGUAGCUUCAUGGUGUGCAAGAGUACAACUAGAAGACUCCUAUGCUAG
RNAcentral lists this ribosomal RNA (900 nucleotides) under Triticum aestivum (bread wheat). RNAcentral describes it as "partial small subunit ribosomal RNA". The record is from RNAcentral. Lineage: Eukaryota; Viridiplantae; Streptophyta; Magnoliopsida; Poales; Poaceae.